RNAcentral lists this ribosomal RNA (438 nucleotides) under Triticum aestivum (bread wheat). RNAcentral's name for it is "partial small subunit ribosomal RNA". Lineage: Eukaryota; Viridiplantae; Streptophyta; Magnoliopsida; Poales; Poaceae. The record is from RNAcentral.
AUGCUUAGAAGAAAGUACCAAGGUGGUUCCUCAGCAAAGAAAGGGCCAAGGAUUGCUAUACGUGAACAAGAUGUUGAAUUGCCGAGGGACGCGGAUGUACGAGCUUGUGAAUGGCCAUCCGAUGAUUUUAUGGUCGAAGCAGGCGUCAAGGAGGAAUUUGACGCGUAUGUGCAUAAUGCCGAGCUGGAGGACUUCUUACAAGAUAAGUGUCCACAGUACUAUCAAUUGACUGAUUCCUUUGUGCGGAGGUUCCAAUAUAACUAUGCGCGUAAUUCUCCUAGUGUCAUGUUUGAUAUUUAUGAUACGUCUUAUACCAUGGAUUUAGAGGAUUUCACAUUGCUUGCAAACUCCCGCAGUGGGGUAAUAUUAAUGAUCCUCGCAAAUCUGAAUUUAGAGAUUUUCUUGCUAGUAUUACUGUGGGAGAAUCUAGGGACAUAG